GUCUUGCUUCGGCAGCACAUAGACUAAAAUUGGAAUGAUAUAGAGAAGAUUAGAAUGGACCCUGCACAAGGAUGACACGCAAAUUUGUGAAGCAUUCCAUAUUUAA
Molecule: small nuclear RNA, 106 nt
Filed under: Pan troglodytes (chimpanzee)
Lineage: Eukaryota; Metazoa; Chordata; Mammalia; Primates; Hominidae
Source: RNAcentral